Molecule: ribosomal RNA, 870 nt
Filed under: uncultured archaeon
Lineage: Archaea
Description: bacterial SSU rRNA
Rfam family: Archaeal small subunit ribosomal RNA
Source: RNAcentral
CUGGUUGAUCCUGCCAGACCCGACUGCUAUCGGAUUGGGACUAAGCCAUGCGAGUCAACUCCGCAAGGGGUGGCGCACGGCUCAGUAACACGUAGUCAACCUACCCUGGGGACGGGGAUAACCUCGGGAAACUGAGGCUAAACCCCGAUGGGCCAUGGCUCCUGGAAUGGGCUAUGGCUGAAAUCUACAUGGCCCCAGGAUGGGACUGCGGCCGAUCAGGUUGUUGGUGGGGUAAUGGCCCACCAAGCCUAUAACCGGUGCGGGCUCUGAGAGGAGGAGCCCGGAGAUGGGCACUGAGACAAGGGCCCAGGUCCUAUGGGGCGCAGCAGGCGCGAAACCUCCGCAAUGGGCGAAAGCCCGACGGGGUCAGUCCGAGUGGUUCCCGCUGAGGGAACCUUUUGCCAGCUGUAAACAGGCUGGCGAAUAAGGGGUGGGCAAGUUUGGUGUCAGCCGCCGCGGUAAUACCAGCACCCCGAGUGGUCGGGACGAUUAUUGGGCCUAAAGCAUCCGUAGCCGGCCCAGUAAGUCCUCCGUUAAAUCCAACGGCUCAACCGUUGGGCUGCGGGGGAUACUGCUGGGCUAGGGGACGGGAGAGGCGAGGGGUAUUCCCGGGGUAGGGGUAAAAUCCACUGAUCCCGGGAGGACCACCAGUGGCGAAGGCGCCUCGCUAGAACGUGCCCGACGGUGAGGGAUGAAAGCUGGGGGAGCGAACCGGAUUAGAUACCCGGGUAGUCCCAGCCGUAAACGAUGUAGGCUCGGUGUUGGGCUGCCUCAGUGGCAGCCCAGUGCCGCAGGGAAGCCGUUAAGCCUACCUCCUGGGGAGUACGGCCGCAAGGCUGAAACUUAAAGGAAUUGGCGGGGGAGCACCCC